GAUGAACGCUGGCGGCGUGCCUAAUACAUGCAAGUCGAGCGAACGGACGAGAAGCUUGCUUCUCUGAUGUUAGCGGCGGACGGGUGAGUAACACGUGGAUAACCUACCUAUAAGGCUGGGAUAACUUCGGGAAACCGGAGCUAAUACCGGAUAAUAUUUUGAACCGCAUGGUUCAAAAGUGAAAGACGGUCUUGCUGUCACUUAUAGAUGGAUCCGCGCUGCAUUAGCUAGUUGGUAAGGUAACGGCUUACCAAGGCAACGAUGCAUAGCCGACCUGAGAGGGUGAUCGGCCACACUGGAACUGAGACACGGUCCAGACUCCUACGGGAGGCAGCAGUAGGGAAUCUUACGCAAUGGGCGAAAGCCUGACGGAGCAACGCCGCGUGAGUGAUGAAGGUCUUCGGAUCGUAAAACUCUGUUAUUAGGGAAGAACAUAUGUGUAAGUAACUGUGCACAUCUUGACGGUACCUAAUCAGAAAGCCACGGCUAACUACGUG
This 497-nucleotide ribosomal RNA is filed under the name uncultured bacterium. Its description in RNAcentral is "partial 16S ribosomal RNA". It matches the Rfam family "Bacterial small subunit ribosomal RNA", at positions 28 to 507 of the family's 1533-position model. The record is from RNAcentral.